RNAcentral lists this long non-coding RNA (14524 nucleotides) under Homo sapiens (human). RNAcentral describes it as "HSALNT0378431". The record is from RNAcentral. Lineage: Eukaryota; Metazoa; Chordata; Mammalia; Primates; Hominidae.
UAUAUGGAUAAAGAAAUUGUGGUAUAUUGAUACAAUGGGAUAUUAUUCAGCCAAAAUGAGGAAAGCCUGUCGUUUUCAAUUAUAUGGAUGAACUAGAGGACAUCAUGCUAAAUGAAAUAAGCCAGGCACAAAAAGACAAAUACUGUAUUUUCUCAUUCAUAUUGUGGUAUCUAAAAAAUGUUGAACUCAUAGAAGCAGAGAAUAGAACAAUGGCGUCCAGGGUUUGGACAGGGUGUGUGAAAUGGGGAGAUGAUGGUUAAAAGGUAAAAACUUUCAAUUCUGACAUGAACCAGUUCUGGAAAUCUAAUGAACAACAUGGGUAUUGAUGAUAGCUGUGUUAAUUUGACUGCAGUAAUGAAUACACAAUCUAUAUGCAUAUAAAGACAUCACAUUGUACGUCCUAAAUAUAUUCAAUCUUUAUUUUUCAAGUAAAUAUUUUAGAAUUAAAAAAAUAGAAAUUAUUUUAUUGAUUGACAAACGAAUAGUUUCUAAGAGAGCUAGAUUAAAAUAUACAUCAUACUAGCACUGGAUAAGUGAAUCAAGUCUUAUGUUAACAUUAGUUGACCAACAUUAUUUUCUAAUAGGUUUAUCAGAGAGGCAUAUAUAGACAUUGGAUAAUCUCAUUGUUGUUCUCUUUCACUUAGAUCAGAAUCUCUUAACAUUCAAAUAAUGACUGAAAUGUGUGUAUUUCAAGAAGUGGAAAAUAAGUUACAACCUUUUGUCAGAUUCUCAAAGAGAUUCUUGACCAGAAAAGAUUCUGAACCUCUGUGUAGAAGUAACAUGUUUUUAUCCAACAUUGCACAAUGGUUCUUGACUGUUCUUUAGAACUAAUGUUCUUCAUUUUGACUUGUACAAAUUGUGGAAGUCCAGUAGGAGUAUAGAGACAGACUUUGUAAUAUAUUACAAGACAUUUACAAGUUGAAAAAACUGCUUCAGUGAGUGAGCUACAGUGGUAGAAUUCUAAGAUGGCAUUCCAAUGUUCCAAUCCCCAGGUUAUUCAAUAAUAUGACUCCAGGUAUUGCUGUGAGGGGAUUUUGAAGAUGUAGUUAAAGCCCCAAAGUGGUUGACUUUUUACAAUACGGAGAGCAUUUGGUUGAGACUGAUCUAAUCACAUGAGCCCUUUCAAAGCAGAAUUUUCUCGGGCUAGUAGCAGAAUGGGAAUUGGAAAUUUAAAGUGCAAGAAGGAACUAAUGUGAAGAAGAUUCUCCAUUGCUGAGAUGGAGUGGGGCACGUGGCAGGGAUCUAAGAGUGGCCUCCAGAAGCUCUAAAUCUCCAGAAUCUCCAGGGAUUGGAACCAAGUGCUUUAUCUUUACCAUAUACCAAUCCAUGAAUCAACUCCAAAACAGAUCUCUAGAAACAGACAAGACUGACUACUGCCUGAAGGUUUCUGACACCAAGUUCCUGAGGUACAUGGAACAGAGGCUGUUAGGAAAUUUGCCUUGCAACUAAAAUUUAAGCAAAGAAACAACUUGUCAUCUACCUGUUUACCUCUAACAGAAGCUUAUACACAUAUGCAUGGGCUUGGAGAAAAUGAUAUUCACUUAAAAACAAUAUAAUAAUGACAUGUACAGAGCCAUAUAGCUCCAAAACCUUUCAAGUGCUACGUCCAUUUGUGAGGACAUAUUUAUCAGUCUAGUACUACCUUGUAACAGUACAAAAGUACAUUCACAUUAUUUUUUCUAAAGGAGCUUAGUUCCUAGAGGGAAAAAUACACUCUUCUCAAAGUUUUAUAAUAAUAAUUAACAUACCCUACAUGAUGUUUGUGAGACUCAAAUAAGGAAAACAAUGGAAUAUGCUAUAUAAGAGCAACAUAUUAUUGUCAAAGUUUUAUUUCUUUUUCUCUAUCUUUCAAACAAAUCAUAAUCUGCUUUGGUUUUUAAAAGUAGUUUAGUCGUAGAAUACUCUGUUCACAUAAUUUAUGUAUUCACAUUAAUCACAUAAUUUAUAAAUCAUAAAAUAUGACGAUAGUGGUAAUAAUAUAAACAAUGAUCUAAAAGUAUGUUAAAAGUUAUAAUCUUCGCAUCGCACUCUCAUGAAGUAGGUUAAUAGACAAUACAUGGCUUGCCUAAUUGCACAUAGAAAUGACUGUUUGGGCCAAGGAUUCAAAUCUGGGGCAUGCAGGCAGAAGUCCUGUUCUCUUGAUGUUCAUUCUAUGCUCUUUAAAUAAACCCCAUUUUAGUCACAUUAAUCAUAUAAAUAAAUAUUUGAUUGUUAACCUAUUAUCAUUCAGAGGAACGAGCUUUCAUAUUUGACUAUAUGAUUUACAAUUACCUGGGACCAAUUUAUGGCUUUUCACUCAAAACAGGUGAUAAUGUAAGCUGUUCGUGCAAAAAGAAUUAGAGAAUUGUUGGAGGAUUAGUGCUUCUUCUAGCCCUUCUGACCACCAAUCCAAGCACAGUUAUGAGUAAACACAUUUUAAAAAAUGAUGAGGCGAGAACUCUUUUGGCAUAUCAUUUCCCUUAAUUAGUCUGCCAACAAGCAUAAAUGCCUGCUCUCAAAGCCUGAGUAGCAGUGAACCCACAGUAGCACAGACUUCUAAUGCAAGAUUUGACCUUGCCCUUAUUGCUCAACAUUCUAUAGGUGAUGACAGUGAGUUGAGUCCUUUGAUGACAUAGACUGUUUACUUAAAGUCCUUCCAUCGGAGGCUUAACAACGUAAUACAGAGUUGAAUAAAGUGGUUUGCAGUCCUGUUGUCAAAAAAAAUAAAAUGCACUGUCCACAGUGUCCUGGAAAACUGUUAACACAUUGUUAGUAGUUUCCAAGCAAGGAUAUUGUUAAACACAUUUCAUGUUAAUGUAGUCUAGCUCAGUGGCAAUUUUCUCCUAGUAAAGAAAUAUGAGGUUCUUAAAAGGUUUAAGCAAAUAAUACAGAGUAGGCUUGAAACACUCACAAGUCAUGAAUUGAACUUUCACUCCUUGUAGUUUAAUAACUAAAUAAUACAUUUUAUAACUAAUUACAGAGAAUUUUUUAUGUGUUGACUUCCAGUGGGUCACAUUUUUUAUAGACAUAUAAUAUUAAGAAAUAAAGUAAGAGGUAUCACUAUUUUAUGUACAUUUAGCUGGAAGUUUUUAAGCAAAAUUAAGAGGUGGAAUGUGAUUGCUUGUUCACUCUACAGUGAGUUGUUAAUCAGCAGAAGUUAAUAAGAUUCAAUUAAGAAUUAAAUGCUUAUGAGAAAUUUAAUAGUGUGUUCCUACCAAAAAUAAAAAUAAAAUAAAAGAAUUUCUCUGUAACAGUAGUAUAGAGGUAAAUAGCUAUCAGGUCUCAGGCAUGAUGGAAUAAAAUAACCCAGUACCAGAGUUAAGACGAAAUUUCCUUGGUGUGGCUUUUUUUCUCAAUUAGGGGCAUCACGGUGAGUUUAUUCCUGUCUUCUAACACAUCCAUCAUUCGAUGCAGGAGGAAGCAGGAGGCUCGACUAGAUGGACCAUUACCAGCUCUGGUAUAUAAAUUCCUGUUUGGAGGCCAUGGAACUCUCCAAAUUCUAAUAUCCAACAGGAUUUUUGUCUUGGCUCUGGAGACUAAAUCAUCUCUUUGACCAAAGGAGAUAGAUUUAUGCUGCUGAAAAGCAAUGCACCCUCUGGAGCAGAGGAGAGAAAUUCUAUACCACCCAGAGGAAUGUGUCCUCAUUUUAUCUAUUAGUGAUUUUAAAUCCACAGUAUUAUUUUUCCCCCAGAGAGUUUGUUUGUGUUAGUUUGGUUCAUAUCACAUCUUUUGGAUUUGAGGGGUUGAAUGUAUAAAAAUUGAGUAUUUGGCCCAACUUCUGAAGCUUUAGAGAGAAUAAAUCCCUUCCAAUAUGAGUGUUAAAUGAGCCACAGCACUGAUUUAUUGUCUGCUAAACACUGGAGAAUGUGGAGUCUUUGUUAGGGAAACGAGGCAAUGAGGGAAAACUGAAAUGUUGACAGGAAGGUUUUCAUAUUAAACUCUAGUAUUUUCCAUCAAGCAGCCAUGCAUUUUCUGGUGAUUAAAACUGAAAAUUAGAAGUAGGAAUUUGCAUCCCUAUUCACUACAAAUAAAUUAACUCUACUGUAUAACUGGUACAUCCUUGAGAACACUGUUAGAAGGAAAAAUAGCACAAUGGUAAGACAAGGUACACACACACAAAUGAGUAUUUAAGAAGACAGGCAGUAAAUGUUUCAUUGGAUUGUUUUUCUAUGAAAUCAAGAAUAAAUUAUCAAGGGUCAAAGGAUCUUAACAAUUACCUUUCCCAGACUUCUUAUCUGGAAUUUGAGUUCCUUUGCAAUAUUCACUCAUUUACCAUUCACUCUGCCUUGCUCUGACUUAUGAUUGAGAAUAGCUAAUGGCCAGGUGCGGUGGCUCAUGCCUGUAAUCUUAACACUUUAGGAGGCUGAGGUGGGAGGAUCACUUGCAACAGGAAGAGCUAACUAUAUUGAACACAUUUUUCUGUAAGGAAAUAUGUACAUGCACAAGUAUCUCAUUUCUUGAGGAGACAUCUCUGUUGUAAUAAAAUUAUUAUUUAUAUUAAAGCAAAGUUAACAUCCUUCUUACUGUUUACUGUGCACCAAGCAUUGCCAAUUUUCUGGGCAUUUAAUCAAAUAAACAAACAAAACAACCCUUUAGGAUAAGAAAGACAAACCUCUUCCUCUGCUAUGGAUUUGCAGUGUCUGUGUGGCACUUUUGACUAACAGAGCAAACCUUGUGUUUGUGGGCAAAAGAGAAAUGUUUAUAGGUUUCAGCUAUAUCACAAACCUAGGUGAUAUAAAUGCACAAACAAGAGUGCAUUUGAAGUGGAGAGACAAUCAAUAGACAACUGGCAUAAAUGGAAAACUAGAGGCAGAAAAAUCAGAUUGAAAAAAGCAUUGCAAUGCUAUAAGAAAGAUUUCAUUCAAGCCAAGUCAAGGACAGAGGAAGUAUAUAAAGGGGUGAAGAAUGCAAGAGACAUCUCAAUGAUGAAGUAAAUAAACUGAUGUAGGCUUUACUCUAUAAGAACCAUGUGAUAUGUUAAAAAGCGUAUGAGCUUUGGAAUGACUGAAGUAAAAUUAAUUCUUAUUUGAAUCUGAGCUCUAUUAUUUGCUUUCUGUGUAAAUUUAAAAAAAUGAAAAAGAAAAAACUACUAAAUUUUGUCUCAAUCUCAGAUUCUUUCUUAUAUAAGGUUGUAAAUAAUAUGGGAUCUCUCAAUAUUGAGAUGCCUAGCACAGAACUUAAUACAUAAUGGCUGCUACAUGAAUAACACACAUCAUUGUUAACUAUUCUAGUAGCAAACUUUGGUUUUCUCUUUUAGACUUUAUUUGUGGUAAAGAACACCGAUAUCUUGUUUACUCCUUACCCUUCCCUAUUACCCUGCUAAAAAUCCACCUUUCCUGUCCUCUCCUGCCAUCUUGCACAUACAUACAGUACCCAUUAAUUGUUAAGGAUUAGAAUUAUGAGUCAGGAUCAAUAUAAAUCAAAUAUUAAUUUCUACAGAAGUGUUUAUUAGUACAGUCUUAUUCUAUUACACAUACAGCUAAUAGAAAUAAUGUCUGUGCAAUAAUUUUUGACUUAAUAUGAAAGCUAAUUGUUAAAAUUAUGUUUCCAAGAUAAUUUUUUACGACCUAACACAGACAGGUUGCAACUAAAAGGCACAUUAUAUCAUUACUCCAGGUUCAAUACUUCAUAAAACAACAUUAGUUCUUUGCAGAGAGUAAGUACUUUCUGCAGAAAAAAAUGGUUGAAAUUUAUAUUUUAAGAUGUCUCAUGGUCUAUGUUCUUUCCCUGCUGGGUGACACUCAAUGAAUACUCCACCUUCUGAAUGACCAUACCUUUAUGGUAGAAGCUGGGUAGAAGGAUGACAAAUACCUUAACUGCACGUCUUAUGUUCAGGGAAUUCCUUGGGAAUUCCAUCAAAGUAGUUCUGCCUCAAAAAUGGCUAAGGGCAAAUCCUGUGAUAAAAUUAGUGUUCUCUUUUGGCUUUUUGCCACUAUUAUUUACGUUCACUCAUUCAAGAAAUUUUCUGAGCUUCAAAAACAUAUUUGUAUCAAAUUGGAACAGUCAUUAUAAUAUAAAAUUAGCCACUUUCAAGCCCUGGUGUUCAUCUUUCACAAUCCAGGCAAAUUUAAACCUUUUCUUAUGUAUUUCUUGAUUCGGUAGAAAUAAAUUCUUCCCUUCUUUGUCCUCCUUUGGAAAUAAUUGAUGUCUGUCUUAUUUUGCUUAUUAUAUUCAGCCUUUCACUGCAACUGGGGAUAUUCAUCUCUCAAUACCAGAUUAUACACUCUUAAGGCUUUUGUGCCACUCAGUUUCCCAUAUAGCUUGGCAUUAUAUCUUGUAAGCAUAGGGCUCAAUAAAUGUGUGGUGAAUUGAAUUGAUCUGAGACAAAUCACAUUCCAGAGCAAUGUGCAUGGAUCUUCAAUAGAGAAAUUAUACAGAAGAAAGAUAAUUUAAGCAAAUCAUUCUUUCAAAAGCCUUAACCUUGACCUUAGCUAGUCCCUUUCUGAUGGUUAAUUUUAUGUGUCAUCUUGCCUGGGCACAGGCGCCUAGAUAUUUCAUUAAACAUUAUUCUGGUUGUAUCCGUGAGGAUGUUUCUGGAUGAGAUGAACCUUUGAAUACAGAUUGAGUUAAGCAGUUUGCCCUCCCCAAUGUGGGUGGACUUCAUCCAAUCCCUUGAAGGCCUGACUAGAGCAAAAGGUGGAGUAAGGGAGAAUCCACUCUCUGACUGACUGUGUUUGAGCUUGGACAUGAGUGUUCUGCCUUGGAGCUCAGACUGGAAUUUACUUAGAUCAUUAGCUUUUCUGGUUCUCAGGUCUUUGAACUCAGACUAGAAAUAUACCAUUGGCUCUCCUGGGUCUCAAGUUGCCAAUUGCAGAUUGCGGAUUUUGGGACUUCUCAGCCUUUGUAACAAUGUAAACAAAUACCAUAUGCAUAUAAGCCAUAUAUAUGCAUAUAUGCUCCUAAUUUGUUGUUUCUCUGGAGAACUAAGACUAAUACACCCUCAUAAUAAGUUUAUCAAUCCAAGAAAGAGAGAAAAGUGCGCUUAAAAUGCACAUGCUACAUUGGCCUAUGUUCUCUUGUCUCCAUUGUCACCCUAAAGUGUUGACAGCGAGAACAAAGAGUCAAUUAUGAUGCUUAAAUCAUAUAUUAUCUAUAUCUGGGCAUUCAACUGACAUAAGUAACACAUGUUUUGCAUGACCUUCAAUGAUACCCCUUGUCUCAUCACACUAAGAAUAAAUAAGCACUCAACACUCUGGGUGCCCCACUUCCCCCUUACUGUCUGCCAGCUAUAGCUAACAUAACCCUGAGGGACAGUGAUCACCCUAAACAGGAAUUCAUUGCAACUUACAAGUUGGGGGUCUGAAAUAUUUUACCUGGAAAAAUCUAUCAUACAAUACCUUCAGACUACUUGUUUAUGUCUCUUUAAAAAGUACAAAUAACUUCAAACGUAAUCACUAACAACGAGAUAGCAACAGAAAAAGUAAAUACCCUCCCCUCAACCUCAAGCCUAUGGAAUUAACAAGAUCAACCAGGAAAUUAUUUAAUUAACUAAGGUGAAAGACUAAAAGUGGCAUUUUGGUUUCAUUGUACAAACGAUGCCACAACAAAACCCAGGUAAAUCAAUAAAUAAUCACACACAUCAAUUGUGUAGAGAACAUAUACUGCAAAUCACUUAAUAAGAUAGUUUUAAUUAUCAGGAAUGGCCACCUUCAUUUUAUCUUACAUUUUAUUUAAAUUCAUUAUAUUUUGAAAAAUUUUGCAUCCUGUAUGAGAAACUAGCUUCAAAAAUACAAUUAAACUUUCCAAAUGCCUCAGGGAGUAUGUCCUUUUCCUAUCCUCCCACCAUAAAAUUAGAAAGGAAGCUGAUGGCUAUUUAGCUGAGAGGAUCCCUGUGGGUGACUGGAAAGUUGCUGGGGAGGAACAGAGGAGAUAUUACCUCUAUCAGGAAGGUCACCGUUAUUUCAAAGGGAAUGGGUUUUUGCCUCAGUGCCUAUAAUACUAAUGUGUAGAUCCAGGUGCUAUACAUUGACUUAGCAUUUCAGGAAAGUACAGGCCAUGCCAGUGAGAUACACUGACAUAGAAUGCCAGGAGACACCUAUUCAGAUUUAUCAAUAUUUACUCUAAUACUCUCUAAAGUCAAGCUACUUAAACAUUGAAGUCACAUAUAUCCAUGUAACUAAAGAAAAAGACUUUCUGUAAAGCACUAAAGGACCAUAUCUAGGUCUUUAUUUUCUCUUGCCAAAACCAUAAAGUUUGUGUAAAGAUCAAUUGAAAGAAUACAGGGCAAAGUGUCAUAAAAACAUUGGAAUUAUUAUAAUCAUAAAUUAUUCCUCUGAUGGCUGUUGCUGUGGUAUAGUUUGCUCUAUACAGCACUAUAAUGAAGCAGGAUUCUGCUACUGUCAAGUUUUUUGAUCAAUAAAAAUAACAAACUAAAGUAAUUCACAUUAUCAUUACAUGGAGCUCUUCCAAGGCCCAAACAUAGUUUAUUUCACUGUGAAUGCAGACUUGGAUAUUUUGCAAUGUUAGAAUAACCAGUUAAUUUUCCAAAGUAUAUAUUUAUUUUUAAAUGAAAGAAAGAGGGCUUUUGCCUUGGGACCAAUGAUACUAAUAUGUAGAUACAAAUUCUAACUCUAUGAGUUAGUUUUCACUCUUUGACCCAUGUUCAAUAACAAAAAUAUACUCAAGACACCUGUUGCAAAGAUGCAAAUUAUGUUGAUUAAUAAAAUUAUCACAAAUAUUAAGCUACAUUUAUAACUUGCUUUUUAUAAUUUAUUUCUCUUUAUUUUGCUUCUUUUGGCUAAACAAAUACCAGUCCCCUAUAGAUGUUUAGAUUUGAUUGACAAAUUCAACGAGUGAUAUGAACUGAUGUAUAUGUUUGCUUACAAUAUGUAUCGGAAAAAUAUAAACGACGAGAGUGAGAAAAAAUAGUUCCAAUUUUAAUAUAAAAAGGGCUUUCUUUCAAAGUUGAUUAUUCCAUUCUUCUUUUCUUUGGGGUAAUUUCCAGUCAUUGUUGGGUGGGGUGAUUGAGAAGAAUUGAUUAUUUAAAUAGGACUGCAUCUUUGGAGGUUGCACUUAGGGCAAAAUGAAUAUUGGAUAUCCUGGUAAUGGAAGCUCUCCCUAAGGGUAUUUUGGUUUUCUUUCAGAGUAGGUUAAAUGCCAUGAUUAAUACUCUGAGUAAGUAUCACCUGCUAUGUUAUCAAAAGACAUGAACAACUUGACAUAGAAAGAUGAUAAUUCACAUUUGCCACAAACUAAAUGCAGUUUUAGCCCUUUUCCAAGGCUAGGGUACAUCAAAUGCUGCCUGAAGUUUGACUCAAUAGACAAAUUGUCCCUUUCUUCUUUUCCUCCCUGCUCAGAUUGUUAUCUGGGAGAGAAUCAUUUGCAAGAAAAGAAUAACUUAUCAGAAAGGAGAAACUGCACAGAAGAUCCAAAGGCUCAACUGUUCCCAUGUGUACUGGGCUUCUGACUCAUUCUGGUUCUCAGGAAAGAGAGGCAAACCUCUGUUUCACAGCAAUUUUCAGAGGGAUUUGGGGGCUCUCGGGCUGCUAUGAGCCAGUGGCUGCUGUGUGCAUGCAGGAGGAGGUCAUCUUGCAGAGGAGUAGAGAUGUUAGCUUUGCAGGGAAAUAAAGAAAGAUAAAGAAGGAGUUAGUCUGCCUUGUGUAUGUCAUUUAUCCCUUCCUUAGAUUGGCAAACAAUUUUCUUUCAAGUAAAGGGAAAUAAUACAUUUCAACAUUGUCAAACAUAUUUAUCAACAUAAUUAUAUGCAAUCUGAGUCUUUCAUAAUGAUUUUCCUUUCUCCAGGCAUUGGCAAACAUAGAUAAUCAAUGUUACCCAGUGACUACAAAUAGUUUUCUCAAAAGGCUGUCUUCCCUUUUCAACAGACAGAUUGUCAAACUACCAAACAGUAAUGCUCAGUGUAGCAAAAAUAUCACUUAAUUGACUAAUUGCAGAUUAACACUUCCUAGGCAUCAGUAAUGUUAGAAAGCUUUAAUGGCUGUAGUAGUUUAUUUUCCUUAAAGACAAAGAAUAGCCCAGGAUCCAUUAAAGAAGUCACUUGCUUAUAUAACACCACUUAGCAGAUAUUUUCUCUUUCUUCAUGCAAACUUGGGAUUCUUAGUACCAAGCAGAUGUCUUGGGGACAAAGGCAGUAAUGUGAAAUAUUAUUACAUUUCUUCAAAGCAAAACAGAAGGAAACUUGAGGAAUAAGAAUAUGCACAUUUAUAGUAAAAUAAUUAAGAAAUGAGUAGAAGGGUGAUGAUUUACAAAAGUAUAAAAUAAGUAUUAAGAUUCCAGUAAUUCAUAAAUAAUGAAGAUAAUAUAGGGAGUCUGGCUAGAGUACAGACCAUUUAAAAGUUCCUGGUUUCUUUCAAGAUUAAAUAACUUCUCAGAAAUCAGUAUGCAGUUCUGAUGCUUUUCCCCCAUACCACAAUACACCCACCACUUCAUUAUUUAUAGAGACCUAGGUCGUAUGACUGAAGAUGACUCUGUUCCCAGAGCUGAAACUUCUGGGGAUGACUGAUCAAUUCCAUUAUUUCUAAUACUCUAAACCACAUACUCUAACCUAGCAUUAGUUUGAUCCCAGACUCCAGGGGUUCCUAGGGUUCUUUUGAAAGAAGGGUAGAGUGGCUGGUGGAGAAAGCUUGAUUUCCAUCCAAUGGGAACAUUUUUAUUUAUAUUAUUAAAAUCUACACAUUAAACUUAUGAAAUUGAAGGUGACGUCAAACUAAGGUGAGCUGAUAAAUCUUGAGGGAAAAGCGUACAUUGUCAGAGAUUUUACUCUUAUAAUGCAAAGCUCUUUAGUGCUUAAGAGCAUUAGUGUUGUCAUAAGAAAACCUUGGUCAUGGCUUUGACAUUUACCAGCUGUAUGACCUCAAACAAGUUAUUUAAUUUUUGUCUCAGUUUCUUCUUCUGCAAAUGGGAAUAAUAAUUCACAGGACAUUUUGUGAUGAUUACAUAAAGCGAUGAUCACAAUGCCUGCCAUACUUCACAUAUUCAAAAAUAGUAACUAUAAUAAUAUUUUAAUAAUAAUAAUGAUGAUGAUUUUUAAGGACUUUAAGGAAUUAUACAGGAAUGUUUCUCCCUAUACGACUAGCUCAGUAUGAUUCUUGGGGCAGUAAUUAGAAGAUCAUUUUAGCUGGAAACUACAUGAUCUUCUGCUUCUGACAACGUUUUUCUCAUCACUGCUUUGCUUUACAUUUCUAACUCUGCCUUCAUUAGGUACUUGCCUACUGAAGACGCUAUUUCUUAAAUAACAGAUGAACUUGAAGAAUAAUGAUCAACCUUAUUUAAUAAUUUACUCAGUUUUCUCCUCAAUUUUGCUUCCACCUAAAUUCAUGGCCCUCAUUUCCCCACGAUACAUUUAAUUGUAAAGGUUUCUCCAACCUCUGUUGGACUGCACGAUCACAAUCCAAUAAAUGGAAAAUAAAUUUAAUCAGUCAACAAGUGACCUUUACUGUAUGUCCCAGCCACUGUUCUAAGGACUGAGGAAGGCUCAGUGACAAGACAAGACAAGCUUUCCCUCUCUGACGUCCCUCAUGAAGAAUGAUUGCGAUUUUCAAAGGGAGCUUCUUUAUAGUUGUCAACUGUAGUCAAGUAUGCUUUGAAUGAAGAUUUUAGAUUCACUUUUCAUUAUUUCCUCUCUGGUGCAACAUGUAUUUACCUUCAGAAGAUUUUUAAUGAUAGCCUUUUCCAGAAGAUCCUUGUUAAUAUUUCUCCAAAGAUGGAGUUUACACAUAGAAGUACAUGCUUAGACCCACCCAAGAACCAAUAAAGUAAAACAAGAAAAAAAAAACUAUGCAGAAUCACAACCAUUAAAAUGUUCACCUAAAACCAGACUUAACUGAAAAGGUAUAUUUUCUACCAUAUGGAUAAUGGAAUUUUGCACAAAAGUGCAAAGUUUACUGCUGGGGAGUAAAGGUAAAGAGUCUAAGGGAAAGAUUCAGGAGGUAUAAAGCCCUUCCUUAGGAAACUUAAAGGAAGUGCUUGAGAACCAAUGAUUUAAUAAAAUCAAGCAUAUCAGCACAUUCAAAAGAAUAAAGUUAAAUGAAAUGAGAAAGAGAAGAAGGUCUAUGUCAAAUACCGUAUUCAUUUAUAUGGUAACUGAGAAAUUUAUCUCCAUUGAGAAAUUUAAUGUCCUGAAAAUCAGGCGCUCUCACUAUUCUAAUUUUCUUAAUAUUAAUUUAGUUUGGUCAAAAAUUUAGGUCAAAAAAACUUGUCAAAAGAAUUUACAAUCAGACGAUGAGGAUUUUUUAGUUAGCCUCAAAGCAAAGAAUGCUGUCUUUGACUGUGCAAACUGCGUGGGAAGGUAGUCAUGGAUUGAGUCACAGCUGAACCUUGGACAUUCAGUGGGCAUUGUGACACAACUGGAUACUAAAAUGAUUACAUAAAGGAGGUGGAAAAUACAGCAAUGGCCCAUGAAGAAAAGGGAAACAGAAAACACUUUAUUUUUGAAAAUCUGUUAGCAUGUUAUUUGCAGCAAAAAUUAUCACCCACUGAUUAUUUUAGUAUAAUGAGGAUGCUAAGGUUGAAGUUAUCAAGAUCAAUAAAUACAGAUUGAAAAAAUAAUUAUAUUCUCCCAAUUUUGCCCAGUAUCUUCAGUCAAGCAAGUAAUAGGGAAAAAAGAAGAAAUACCAAAUAUUUUCUUAUAUUCUUCUUAUCUGACCUGUUUUAAAAUUAAGGUGAAAUAGAUCUCUAGCCAUAGGAUCUUUAGAACUAAAUGAGCUUAAGUGCCACAGCUAUGUCAUAUUAUCUUGAAGGGAAAGGUAAUUAUUUUUGUGACAGGCCCAUUUCUUAUUAUCACUAAUAAUCUAAAAUUAUAUAUUUUGUCAUGUAAUUAUUAUCUACCAUAAACAGCCAGUAGUGUGUUAAACUGAUACUGGGAACUCCUUGUUAUGCUCCAACUCCAAGGGCAAAUAGUCUUGAAUUACAUUCAUACUGUUUAUUUUAUUCAUUAUUCAAUUGUUUGUUCAAUGUUCCAAAAUGAAAGAUCUCACAGAACUUCUAAAAAAAGCACUGCCUUUCAAGAAAUUAUGCAAUAGGUAUUUGAGCCAAUCAUGUCUGUAUUAUUUGAUGCAUACUGACUUUACCUGGGUAUUUUUUACACUCUCUAAGCAUAGAUUACUCGUUAGUAAAAUGAUGAUAAACAUAGUAUGAAUGUCACACAACUGUUGCAACGACAUCACACAAUUGUUGCAAAAAUUAUUGAAUAAAAAGUACUUAGCAAAAAAGCUCAGCCAAUGUUAAGUUUCAUGAAUCAAUUUGAUCCCAGUAAAAACCCAGCACACUAUGUGUAUAUGCGUGUGUGUAUGAAUGUGUGUGUGUGUGUGUGUGUGUAUGUGAUGUGUAAACUAACAAGGUGAUGUAAGGAAAUUUAAAGGACCUAGAUUAACCAAGAUUAUUUUGAAGAAGAGCAAAGUUGAAAGAUCUAUACUACCACACAGUGAUUUAGUAUAACACUAAAUAGUAAAUAACUAAAUAGUAAAACACUAAAUAGUAAAUAAAUUAUGGUAUUGGCUCAAGAUACAGAAAUAAACAAAAGAAGACAAUAGAGUCUAGAAAUAGAUGCCCACACAUAUUGUCACCUGAUUAAUAACAAAGAUGUCACUACAAUUCAGUUGUGGAAAAGAUGGCCUUUUAUACAAAUGAUGCUAGGAUAAUUUGAAAAAGUGAAUCUUGAGGCCCUAACUCUCAUCAUACACAAAAAUAUUCAAGAUUAAUCAUAGAUUUAAAUGUAACAAAAUAAUAACAUUUCUAAGAGAAGACAUAGCACAAUAUCUUCAUGACAUUGGAGUAAACAGCUUGCAACUAACCCUAAAAGGAAAAAAAUAAUAAUAAUUGGAUUUUAUUAAAAUUAAGAAUUUCUUCUCAUCAGAAGAUCAUUAAGAAAGCAAGAAGAUAAUUCAAAGACUGAGAAAAAUACACUUCCAAUGUAUGUAUCUAAUAAAUGACUUAUAUCCAGAAUAAAUAAAGAAAUUCCACCAUAAAAAAGUAAAAACAAAUUCAAUUAAAACUAGGCAAAAACGCGAAUGGCACUUCAAAAUACAGGAUAUCCAAAUGGCUUUUGAGCAUAACAUAUUUAUUCAACAGAAGAGAACAAAUUAAAACCUCAGCCUGUACCUUUCCUACCACCAAAAUGGCUAGUACUAACAAGUCUAAUGGUACCAAGCAGCAAGGACAUGAAGCUACCGGAGUUCUAUUACAUCGUUGGUUGAAGUGCGAAUUGAUACAGGCAGACUGAAAAAAUAUUUGGAAUUAUCUACUAAAGCUAACUAAAUGUAUGCCUACCAUAUGAUUCAUCAAUACCGCUCUUAGGUACAGAGCCAAGAAAAGAAUGUGUUAAUAUCCGUAAGUAAAUAAAAAUAUCCAAAACAGUUUUUUUCAAGUAAUGGCAAUUUUGUAUAAGAACGUCCUUUUUUGCACCACUGCACUCCAGCCUGGGCAACAGAGCGAGACUCCGCCUCAAAAAAAAACAAAAAAGGUCCUUUUUUAAAAUAAAUCCAAAUACUGAAAACAAUCAAAUAUCCAUUGACAAUAGCAUCUAUGUAAUUCAUUGUAUGUUCAUAAAAUAUAAUAUGAAACAAUAAUAAAAAUUAUAAAAUACUGGCCA